Long non-coding RNA from Oxyura jamaicensis (ruddy duck), 679 nucleotides. RefSeq lists it as uncharacterized. The record is from RefSeq and is a predicted model, not a curated record. The transcript has 4 exons. NCBI's taxonomy places the organism in Eukaryota, Metazoa, Chordata, Aves, Anseriformes, Anatidae.
AUGCUAUGCAACAGACCUUCAAGUACAGUUGGAUACCAUAAAUAAGUUUCUGACCAGCUGUUAGAAAGAUGGGGUGUGUUUUCUGCAUUUCCACCUUGCCUCAAAAACUGAAACUAAACAAAGACUUCCCAUCUCCUGCAUGACAUCUUUAACACCCUUGUCAUUCCACGUGUGUGAAGCAAAGCAUAACUGGUGACUGAGUGUAAGCACAGCGCUUUCUCAGGGAAGACUGUGUGUGCAUGUUAUUGAUUGUCUUACUGUUUCAUAUACAUCUGUACAGCCCACAAAACUAAAAUAUACUAAUAUCUUUGAAGUGCCCAAGGUACCCAAGAAGGCUGUUCUGGAAGAACCCAUACCUGUAGCUGUGCCAAAAAAGCCAGAACCUGCACCAGCUCGAGUGCCCGAAGUACCCAGGAAGGCUGUUCGUGAGGAAAAAAUACCCGUGGCCGUUGCCAAAGCACCAGAGCCUCCAGCACCCAGAGUGCAUGAGAUGCCAGAGGCAGAGGUCUCGGAAGAGGAAGAGGUGGAAGAAGUACCAGAGGAAGCGGUAGCAGUUGCCGAGCCUGGAGAGCCAGAAGCUCCUCCAGCUGAAGCACCUGAGGUGGUUGAGGACGAAGAGCCGGAAGAGGAAGUGUCGGUGGUUGUUCCCCAAAAGCCUGUGGCAGUGCCCAAGAAGCCU